CCUAAUCCAGAAUGAGGGUGAGUAAAUUGAGAAACCAUCCGCAUUAUUUGGAUUAGGUG
Molecule: microRNA precursor, 59 nt
Filed under: Monodelphis domestica (gray short-tailed opossum)
Lineage: Eukaryota; Metazoa; Chordata; Mammalia; Didelphimorphia; Didelphidae
Description: microRNA mdo-mir-7310 precursor
Source: miRBase by way of RNAcentral